Molecule: small RNA, 78 nt
Filed under: Flavobacterium sp. 11
Lineage: Bacteria; Pseudomonadati; Bacteroidota; Flavobacteriia; Flavobacteriales; Flavobacteriaceae
Description: Flavo-1 RNA
Rfam family: Flavo-1 RNA
Source: RNAcentral
UCCUAGCCCAGAUAAAAGUGGGAAUCAUUAUGAGUCGUGGUUCGGCGAAUAAGAUUGUAAUGGAUAGCUGGACACGAG